This is an RNA transcript of Polistes canadensis, 3000 nucleotides long. It is a transcript of the gene named epsilon-sarcoglycan, with no coding region annotated. The record is from RefSeq and is a predicted model, not a curated record. Lineage: Eukaryota; Metazoa; Arthropoda; Insecta; Hymenoptera; Vespidae. The transcript has 12 exons.
UUUUCAAAAGGUUAUGGAUUUAUUUAAUAGGUUAUUCAUUCACAAUAAUGAGGGGAUUUUCUUAUUUAUUUCUUAGAAAAUUACAAACGGGUGCGUACGCGAGCAUUCACACGUAGAUAUUUAAUCGCGGCGGAACAUUCGAAUGACUAAACUGUCGUCAUUUCAAGCGUAAGCGCGUUUCUUCGAUUUAGGUAAAACCCAAAAAACUGGUUUGAUGUUAUUUAUGAUAAUUUUGUACAAGUAUUAAAGCUAAUAAACAUCACUCUUAUGUUUGGUUUCCACUAAUUUAAAAUAAAUACUGUAAUAUUCUUUUGCUUACAAUAAAUAAUAAUUAAUUGUGGCUUACGUGAAUCCAUGACAUCAUUUAUACGAUUUCUUUUUUCUUAAUUAUUCGUUAUUUCAAUCAACAUUUAAGAUAGCUAACUUAUUUCUUAUUAAUUUUAAGUAUAAUAAGUAACAAUAUGAUUCUUUAUGAUUUUUUUACGACAAUUGUGAUCAAUUAUUUCUACCAAUUAACAUUUUCAUGUAACGCAUGAGAAUCAAUCAUAUGUGAUCUUCUAUCGAAACUGUUAUCGAAUUAUAUCGAACGAUCGAUAUAGUUUAACCAUUCACAGGAAAAAUUGGUACACAUAUUAUCGCGCGUGUUUUGCACACGAUAAUGUCUUUUCAAAUCUUCAAUGAUUAUCAUCGAACUAUACAAGUUGUUGGAUUAGGUAAAUUUAUAUUGUAUGUACGUUUACAAAGUAUUGUUACAUUUAACUUUCCAAUGGAAUAUUAUGUGAUUUACUUUCAUAAACGUAUGUAUGAGUUCAAGCAUAUCCCCAAAUCAAUAUGUUAUUAUGCGUCAAUAGUAUUAUACGUAAACUAGUUAGUUUGAUAAGAUAGAAUUAAUUUCCACAAUUAAAAGUAUACUAUGUACAAAGAAAUAAAAUUUUGUCAAUCAGUUAAUUCAUCAUAUCUUACAUGCAUCAAAUUUUACAUGCGUAAUAGUAAUAUAUGUAACUAUUAAAAAAAUAAAAAGAACAGAUAAAUAUAUGGAAAAUGAUCGUAUCUUGUGAACGAGUGGUAAUUUCUCGAAUAAUACGGUCCUGGGCAAGAAAGUGGCGCUUACGGUGCGCAGGAAGUUAACGCGCAUACGUCUUUACGCGCCGCUUAUGUUGCGUUCUCCUCUGUUUUUUUCCUAAAAGACGUCACAAAAAUCAACGUACUGAUACCAAAUUUCCCAAGUAUAAUCAAUAAGACACUCCCGCAAAGGUUUACGGAGUAUUACGAAGUAUGACGAUGUAUGACGAAGUAUGACGAGUUUAUAACGUCGGGUCGAUAAUUCAUUUUUGAAGUUACGACGAAUAAACCGUAUCCAGUCGUUUUACGAUAUUCAGCUUUUCCGUGCAGAAAACACUUGGAAAAAACAAAUCGUUCAAAUCUACACAACAUGAUGUUCACAUUGGGACGAUCGAUAUAUAUUUCGUAAAAAUAUUGUUUAAAGAAAGUUGCAACGAAAUGCAUCUGUACGUGGGAGUAUUAAUAAUUCUGGCGACCUUUGCCUGUGCUGAGAAUAUUCUAAUGACCGAGGUCUUUGUCAUACCUAUCAGACCGGAAACUUUCAAUUGGAAUCCAGAUGGAAAAUACGAUCAGUUUACGUAUCAACCGUCCUUGCUCAACGCUCCCGAUCUUCCGUCAUGGAUUCACUAUGUUCAUAGUAAAAGAGAUCACGGCGGAUUUCUUUAUGGUGUGGCACCCAAAAAUCAAAAAUAUUUUCAAUUGGAGAUUGUGGGCUUGAACAAACACACGUACGAGACGAAAUAUAAAGUGCUCGACAUCAACGUUCUUGAGAAACAAAAUUUAACGAGAUACGAGGUCAACUUAAAAAUCGAUAAUCUCAACGUGGAAGAUAUAUUUGGUCGUAAUCGUACCGAAAAACUUCUUCAUAUUUUCAGAAACAAACUUUGGACGACUGCAAUGGACUUAUAUGUCACUUUUCUUGCUUCUGCGGUCGAACUCGGAGCACGCUUACCCCUUAAACCUGGAGAAAGCGAGGGAGUCGUAAUGAGACUGGGUAGUUCGGUGCCGUUUUCACAAGAAUUGAUUGAACUUCAAGAAGAAGUAAAACCACUUUGGAAAUUAUUACCAUCCUGCCCAAGAGAUUUUAAAAGAACAAGCGUGGAAAGACUAUUCAGAGAAGCUGGCUUUUUAUUGGAUUGGUGUUCCUUCAGACUGAUCGAAAGCGACGAACAAAAUUUGCAACGAGAAAGUGCGAGACGCGGACCAAGUAUGAAUAUCGUUGGCUUACCAUCAUCUGGAAUUUCUGAACAUACCGAGUGGCAAUGGGCAAGAUCAACGAAAGCUGAUAUUCCUACGAGAAGUUAUUUCAAAGAAAUCGUUACGACGAUCUUCGUACCAACGAUAUUACUUCUUCUUUUGGCCACUUCUCUGAGUACAGCACUUUGUCUUCAUCGUGAUAAAAUUUAUGCAUAUUAUCCGUUUGCAUGCCAUUCUAUAGUCGCAAAAAAACAGAAUCCUCGUCGAUAGAAACAAUGAGCAAGAAUGGGGUGCAAAUGGUACAAUAUGUUGCUCCUGAAAGAGGUACUCUGAGAUCAUUAUCCGUACCACCUUCUAGUCCUAAUGACUCUUUAACACAUACACCAAGAAUUUCUAGUGAACGUUGUAAUCCAUAUAUUCGACCUAAUCCACCACCUUAUACUGGACCAAGCAAUUUUGCAGGUAUUAGAACAGACUUCUGACUGUACGAGGAGCCAGGAAAAACGUGGUUUUGCUAAACAAAUACAAUUAAAAUACGUUUGCGCUUUGGACAAAGAAAUUGCAAAAUCAUUGAAACUGGCUCCAUAAAUUAUAAUUAGUGCUUAAAUCAAUAAUAAAGUAGUAAGUUUAAUUAUAAGUGCGCUCUAUAUAUUUCAUUUAAAGGAGCCUCAUUCUAUGUAAAACUUACGAAAUGAUAAUCUUUUAGUAAUAGCAAAUAAAGUUGUUAUAAAAUUGUUUACA